AUACUUACCUGGCAGGAGAGAUACCAUGAUCACGAAGGUGGUUUUCCCAGGGCGAGGCUUAUCCAUUGCACUCCGGAUGUGCUGACCCCUGCGAUUUCCCCAAAUGUGGGAAACUCGACUGCAUAAUUUGUGGUAGUGGGGGGAAAAACAAAAACAAAACAAAACAAAACAAAAAAACCCAA
Molecule: small nuclear RNA, 182 nt
Organism: Myotis lucifugus (little brown bat)
Lineage: Eukaryota; Metazoa; Chordata; Mammalia; Chiroptera; Vespertilionidae
Gene: U1
Rfam family: U1 spliceosomal RNA
About the family: U1 is a small nuclear RNA (snRNA) component of the spliceosome (involved in pre-mRNA splicing).
Source: Ensembl